RNAcentral lists this ribosomal RNA (1180 nucleotides) under Cellulophaga sp. RNAcentral's name for it is "bacterial SSU rRNA". It matches the Rfam family "Bacterial small subunit ribosomal RNA", at positions 145 to 1330 of the family's 1533-position model. The record is from RNAcentral. Lineage: Bacteria; Pseudomonadati; Bacteroidota; Flavobacteriia; Flavobacteriales; Flavobacteriaceae.
AGCCCAGAGAAAUUUGGAUUAAUAUCUUAUGUGAUAUGUGACUGGCAUCGGUUACAUAUUAAAGGUUACGGUAAGAGAUGAGCAUGCGUCUCAUUAGUUAGUUGGUAAGGUAACGGCUUACCAAGACUUCGAUGAGUAGGGGUCCUGAGAGGGAGAUCCCCCACACUGGUACUGAGACACGGACCAGACUCCUACGGGAGGCAGCAGUGAGGAAUAUUGGANCAAUGGACGGAAGUCUGAUCCAGCCAUGCCGCGUGUAGGAAGACUGCCCUAUGGGUUGUAAACUACUUUUAUACAGGAAGAAUAAGAUCUACGUGUAGAUUGAUGACGGUACUGUAAGAAUAAGGACCGGCUAACUCCGUGCCAGCAGCCGCGGUAAUACGGAGGGUCCGAGCGUUAUCCGGAAUUAUUGGGUUUAAAGGGUCCGUAGGCGGGCUGUUAAGUCAGAGGUGAAAUGCUGCGGCUCAACCGUAUGCACUGCCUUUGAUACUGGCGGUCUUGAGUUAUAGUGAAGUGGCUAGAAUAAGUAGUGUAGCGGUGAAAUGCAUAGAUAUUACUUAGAAUACCGAUUGCGAAGGCAGGUCACUAACUAUACACUGACGCUGAUGGACGAAAGCGUGGGUAGCGAACAGGAUUAGAUACCCUGGUAGUCCACGCCGUAAACGAUGGAUACUAGCUGUUCGGUUUUCGGACUGAGCGGCCAAGCGAAAGUGAUAAGUAUCCCACCUGGGGAGUACGUUCGCAAGAAUGAAACUCANAGGAAUUGACGGGGGCCCGCACAAGCGGUGGAGCAUGUGGUUUAAUUCGAUGAUACGCGAGGAACCUUACCAGGGCUUAAAUGUAGAUUGACAGGUUUAGAGAUAGACUUUUCUUCGGACAAUUUACAAGGUGCUGCAUGGUUGUCGUCAGCUCGUGCCGUGAGGUGUCAGGUUAAGUCCUAUAACGAGCGCAACCNCUGUCGUUAGUUGCCAGCAUGUAAUGAUGGGGACUCUAACGAGACUGCCGGUGCAAACCGUGAGGAAGGUGGGGAYGACGUCAAAUCAUCACGGCCCUUACGUCCUGGGCCACACACGUGCUACAAUGGUCGGUACAGAGAGCAGCCACUUAGCGAUAAGGAGCGAAUCUAUAAAACCGAUCACAGUUCGGAUCGGAGUCUGCAACUCGACUCCGUGAAGCUGAA